RNAcentral lists this ribosomal RNA (421 nucleotides) under Granulicatella adiacens. Its description in RNAcentral is "bacterial SSU rRNA". It matches the Rfam family "Bacterial small subunit ribosomal RNA", at positions 28 to 437 of the family's 1533-position model. The record is from RNAcentral. Lineage: Bacteria; Bacillati; Bacillota; Bacilli; Lactobacillales; Carnobacteriaceae.
GACGAACGCGGCGGCGUGCCUAAUACAUGCAAGUCGAACGAGAGCGACCGGUGCUUGCACUGGUCAAUCUAGUGGCGAACGGGUGAGUAACACGUGGGUAACCUGCCCAUCAGAGGGGGAUAACAUUCGGAAACGGAUGCUAAAACCGCAUAGGUCUUCGAGCCGCAUGGCUUGAAGAGGAAAAGAGGCGCAAGCUUCUGCUGAUGGAUGGACCCGCGGUGCAUUAGCUAGUUGGUGAGGUAACGGCUCACCAAGGCCGUGAUGCAUAGCCGACCUGAGAGGGUGAUCGGCCACAUUGGGACUGAGACACGGCCCAAACUCCUACGGGAGGCAGCAGUAGGGAAUCUUCCGCAAUGGACGCAAGUCUGACGGAGCAACGCCGCGUGAGUGAAGAAGGUUUUCGGGAUCGUAAAAACCCCUG